Molecule: ribosomal RNA, 250 nt
Filed under: uncultured bacterium
Lineage: Bacteria
Description: partial 16S ribosomal RNA
Rfam family: Bacterial small subunit ribosomal RNA
Source: RNAcentral
UACGUAGGAACCGAGCGUUGUCCGAAUUUACUGGGCGUAAAGAGCGCGUAGGCGGUCAGUUAAGUCUCAUGUGUAAUCUCCCGGCUCAACUGGGAGGGGUCAUGGGAUACUGGCAGACUAGAAGAUAGCAGAGGAAAGCGGAAUUCCAGGAGUAGUGGUGAAAUGCGUAGAUACCUGGAGGAACACCAGAGGCGAAGGCGGCUUUCUGGGCUAUUCUUGACGCUGAGGCGCGAAAGCGUGGGGAGCGAAC